AGGAUGAUCCCUUCAUCUUGGGUUAUAAGUGUUGGAAAAUUGGUCAUAUCUCCUUUGUGUUUGACCAAAAAAUUCUCCUCCUAUGGCAUAGACAUGCUAUUGGUCAUCUUCUUGAAAUGUAGGACACAUGUCCAUAGAAUAUCCAAAUUGAAUACAAAUUUCAUAAACUCUAAUCUAUUGUGUAUUACCAAUAACCAUAUUUCACACCAAAGUAGUUAGUUGUGAAAUUUGAGAUUCAAGAGAAGAAAUACUUACCUCAUUCACCCUUCUUAGAGUGUCUCGCGUGUUCCUGAACUGUUGCGAAGUGGUGACCAUGAUCGUUAUCAAUUAUCUAGCUUCUCGUGGUGUUUUAUUCACUAUGGUGCCACCACUUGCUGCAUCUAACACUCUUCUU
This 394-nucleotide long non-coding RNA is filed under the name Carica papaya (papaya). RNAcentral's name for it is "long non-coding RNA (CPAP_LNC015199)". Lineage: Eukaryota; Viridiplantae; Streptophyta; Magnoliopsida; Brassicales; Caricaceae. The record is from RNAcentral.